UACGGGGGGAGCAAGCGUUGUUCGGAUUUACUGGGCGUAAAGGGCGCGUAGGCGGUCAGUGCAAGUCAGUUGUGAAAUCUCCGGGCUUAACUCGGAACGGUCAACUGAUACUGCUCGACUAGAGUGCGGAAGGGGCAACUGGAAUUCUCGGUGUAGCGGUGAAAUGCGUAGAGAUCUGGAAGAACACCAAAGGCGAAGGCAGCGUCCUGGGAAGCAUCUGACGCUCAGGUGCGAAAGCUAGGGGAGCGAACGGG
This 254-nucleotide ribosomal RNA is filed under the name uncultured bacterium. Its description in RNAcentral is "partial 16S ribosomal RNA". It matches the Rfam family "Bacterial small subunit ribosomal RNA", at positions 524 to 776 of the family's 1533-position model. The record is from RNAcentral.